AGCGGAGGAAAAGAAACUAACAAGGAUUCCCCUAGUAGCGGCGAGCGAAGCGGGAAGAGCUCAAAUUUAUAAUCUGGCACCUUCGGUGUCCGAGUUGUAAUCUCUAGAAGUGUUUUCCGCGUUGGACCGCACACAAGUCUGUUGGAAUACAGCGGCAUAGUGGUGAAACCCCCGUAUAUGGUGCGGACGCCCAGCGCUUUGUGAUACACUUUCAAUGAGUCGAGUUGUUUGGGAAUGCAGCUCAAAUUGGGUGGUAAAUUCCAUCUAAAGCUAAAUAUUGGCGAGAGACCGAUAGCGAACAAGUACCGUGAGGGAAAGAUGAAAAGCACUUUGGAAAGAGAGUUAACAGUACGUGAAAUUGUUGGAAGGGAAACGCUUGAAGUCAGACUUGCUUGCCGGAGCUUGCUUCGGUUUGCAGGCCAGCAUCAGUUUUCCGGGGUGGAUAAUAACGGUUUGAAGGUAGCAGUCUCGGCUGUGUUAUAGCUUUCCGUUGGAUACAUCCUGGGGGACUGAGGAACGCAGCGUGCUUUUUGCGAAAGACUCGUCUUUUUCACGCUUAGGAUGCUG
This 567-nucleotide ribosomal RNA is filed under the name Rhodotorula glutinis. RNAcentral's name for it is "eukaryotic LSU rRNA". It matches the Rfam family "Eukaryotic large subunit ribosomal RNA", at positions 49 to 628 of the family's 3401-position model. Lineage: Eukaryota; Fungi; Basidiomycota; Microbotryomycetes; Sporidiobolales; Sporidiobolaceae. The record is from RNAcentral.